ACGGAAGGCAGCAGUCGGGAAUAUUGCGCAAUGGAGGAAACUCUGACGCAGUGACGCCGCGUAUAGGAAGAAGGUUUUCGGAUUGUAAACUAUUGUCGUUAGGGAAGAAAAAAGACAGUACCUAAGGAGGAAGCCCCGGCUAACUAUGUGCCAGCAGCCGCGGUAAUACAUAGGGGGCAAGCGUUAUCCGGAAUUAUUGGGUGUAAAGGGUGCGUAGACGGGAAGGUAAGUUAGUUGUGAAAUCCCUCGGCUCAACUGAGGAACUGCAACUAAAACUGUCUUUCUUGAGUAUCGGAGGGGAAAGCGGAAUUCCUAGUGUAGCGGUGAAAUGCGUAGAUAUUAGGAGGAACACCAGUGGCGAAGGCGGCUUUCUGGACGGUAACUGACGUUGAGGCACGAAAGUGUGGGGAGCAAACAGGAUUAGAUACCCUGGUA
RNAcentral lists this ribosomal RNA (435 nucleotides) under uncultured bacterium. RNAcentral's name for it is "partial 16S ribosomal RNA". It matches the Rfam family "Bacterial small subunit ribosomal RNA", at positions 341 to 792 of the family's 1533-position model. The record is from RNAcentral.